GGGCGCGUAGCUCAGUUGGUUAGAGCGCCUGCUUCACACGCGGGAGGUCACAGGUUCGAGCCCUGUCGCGCCCACCA
This 77-nucleotide transfer RNA is filed under the name Bryobacterales bacterium. RNAcentral's name for it is "tRNA-Val". It matches the Rfam family "tRNA". From Rfam's summary of the family: Transfer RNA (tRNA) molecules are approximately 80 nucleotides in length. The record is from RNAcentral. Lineage: Bacteria; Pseudomonadati; Acidobacteriota; Terriglobia; Bryobacterales.